UGCAGAUGCAAAACAGUAUGUAGCCUCAAGAAAUCUCAGCAGCUCUAUUUAAACAUUUAGUGAAGUGAGUUGAGUUGGACACAUUUACCUGAACAGGAUGAAGGUUUUAGUUGUCCGUUUCUGGCUUCUUUUACUGCUUCUGCACCAAAGAAAGGAGAAUCUGGCGUCAGCCCUGUGUUCAGUGCCCACAGUGCUCUGCUGUCUUGGCAGGGAUGACAACUGCAGACGAGAGUGCUAUUGUGAUGAGUUCUGCAUCAUACUCGGAGACUGCUGUUCUGACUACAAUCAGAUAUGCAAUCCUUCUCCACCAAACUCAACAUCUAUACCAUCAAUACUUUCACAAACAGAAACAAAAGCCCCAUUGCUUCAGCCACAUCCAACAUUCCAACAGCUUUCAGUGUCAAUCUCACCCCAGUCAUCAUCCUCACCCACCAUUAAACCAUCACCAUCAUCCUCAUCUUCUACACCAUCAACAAAAUCCUCUUCAUCUUUACCAGUGUCGGCAGUAGCGAUAUUAUCACCCACACCAUUGUCAUCCUCAAUGCCACCAUCUUCUGCAAUAACCUCAAUACAAACUUCAUCAACCUCGCCAUCUUUAACUAUAACACCAUCGACUUCAUCAUCACCAACCACAACGAUCUCAUCAACAAACUUAUCAUCAACCCCAGCAGCACAGCCCUCACUAUCAGCAGCAUCAUCAUCGUCCUCAUCAUCUUAUUCUUCAAUAAAAUCAUCUACAUCAUCUUCAUCAGUGCAACUAUUUUCAUCAACAUUGCCCCAACCAGCACAGCCCUCAAUGUCAACAACCUCUGCAUCAUCUACCUCAUCCUUACCAUCAUUAAAAGACUUACAGCUUACAUCACCAUCAACACCAUCUUUAUCAUUGUCAACACCCUCAGUAAUAUCAACUCCACCAUCCUCUUCAUCUUUACCAUCCACAGCAGCAUCUUCAUCAGUCCCACUAUCCCCAUUUGCAUCAUCAUUGUCAUCUUCAACAAUGACACUUUCAGCAAAACCAAUACUAAUGUCAUCACUCACUCCAUCUUCAUUACCAAAUUCACCAUCCCCAACAUCCCCGUCUUCAUCAAUAACCUCACCACCAUUAUUACCACCAACAGCAGCACCAUCAUCCUCUUUUUCUCCACCAAUCUCGUUGACUUCAAUGACUAGAUCACCAUCAUUACCAACCAUGCCAUUAUUUCCAUCAUCCUUACUGUCAUCACCACCGUCAUCAUCCCCAAACUCUCCAUCAUUCUCAGAAUCAUCUUCACCCCCAUCGUCAUCAAUCUUGCCAUCCUCCCCAAACUUUCCAUCAUUUAGACCAUCAAAACCAUUUAUGGAUUAUAAGAAAGUGACCACAGGCCUGCAUAUGUAUGUGCGCUCCAAGGCUAAUAUGCAAGCAACACUGAAGGCUGUGCAGGAUUUUGUUCUGCACAUGGAGUCCGUCAUGAGGAGACAGCAGGCUGAAGACUGCAGGCUACGAGUGUUACACAGCACAGCUAUGAAAAAUAAACGUGAAAUGAACACCUCACUGAACACGACAUCCAUGGCACAAUAGCUGCUCUAUGUAAAUAUAAUUUUUCUGAAUAUUCUGUGUUUUACAGAAACCUAAUUUUCUGAGUAUGUUACUCAAUGGAAGUGUGCUUUUUCACUAGGUGGCACUACAACAUAAACAUGAGUAAAUAGCCACUCACUGGAACAGACCUAGGCUUUUUGUAAACUGUAUUUUGUCAAACAUGUAAUGGAUAAAAUCUGAUUAAAUAUGUCCAAGAAGAAUAAAAACAUAAUUGGACUUUACAACAAAUUCACAUACUCUAAGCUCUCAUUACUAUAGACAAAAAAAAAUGCAUAGCCGAAACAAAUAUCUGGUUAUGCUGAAAUCCAUAUGAAUUAUUUUUGAGGGGGUUUUUUUGUUUGUUUUUGGCCAAACAAAUGUUGUUGUUUUCCAAUGUUUUUUGUUUAUUUCAUUUUUUUAAUGUGUUAAGUGUCAGAUUUUGUGGAUAUUUAAAUUUACAUUUUUAGUUUGUUUAAAUUUAGUGUGAUGGAAUUUUAAAUCUACUUGCGUACUUUGCGCAUAGAAAAUAAUUGGAAUUACAUACAAAACAUUUUUGAAUGUGCAUUCUUUGAAGCAAAAUAAUUUUCCAGCAUUCCACCAAUUUUUUUUUCUUUUGAGGAACAUAACUUUCUACCUUGAUGCCAUGGGUCAUAGCAGAAAAUGUGUGUUAGGCUGCCAGUAACGGAAGCAAUCUUUAAAAAAUAAAUAAAUAAAUGUACGGUGUUUGUGGAAAUAUUACAAAUUGCUUUGGGUCAGUUACUUGAAGACAAAACAUAUUCCAGAAAAUAUAUAAAUAUAUAGAUUUUUACAGCAUUGUUCCAUAGAAGAGUUUUCCUGCAAUCUUUUCUUAUUUGGAUGAUUGGUAUUUUUCUUCAGACAAACAGGAAGUAACAAUUAAAUAUUAAAUUCCAUUCUAUAGAUGAACCUGAAUGAGAUGCAUGUAAAAAGCUAAAUGUUUACAUGGAAAUGAUGCUGGUCUCUGAGUGUGGAUUUUACUAAUGCUUUAGUUAAAAAAAAAAAAAACUGCAAAGUGCACACUCAGCUGGACUAAGAUGAAGGUCUCAGAUGCUCACUCCUGGCUCCUCUUAUUGUUCCUGGACCAGGUUUCAGGUAACAAGCAUGCUUCAGUCCUGUAAAAAACUAUAGCAAAGAAAAAAAAACAAGAGCUUAAUUUUUUUUUUUUUUUUUUUUUUUUGUGAAUGUGUUUCUGUGUAUGAGAAGUAUGUUUGGAAAAAUUACCAGAAAGGAGAAUUUUUUUAAUAACACAAAACUAUUUAAUCUGGCCUUAAAUUUUUGUGAAAGAGAGCAGGGGACUUUAACAUUUAAGAGAAACUACAGCAAAUAAAAGACUCAGAAGAGCUUAAACGUGUUCGCUCAAGAGCCAAUGAGGAGGCAAUGCUGAAGGCUUUGCAGGAUGGAAGUGUCUUUUACAAAUAAUUUUACCAGAGCACCGCUGUUUGCUUAAAUCUGGUUAAUUUGUGAUCAGUGCAGGGUAAAUGUCUUCUGAAAACCAAGAUAGUACAGGUUUUUUUCUAUUUAGAAUAUGUGACUACAAAUACAAAUUGCAUCUCAACCUUAGAUCUCAAUAUUAGAUUAUGUAAAAUGUGUAUUUUACUGUUACCAUAUACAUUUCUAUAUUCAUUGUAUUAAUGCAUGUUUGUAUUGACCCUUUUCACUAUGUUUCCCAAUAAUCUAAGUGGGUUACAGUCUGUUAACACACUUCCAGUAAACCUCAAUAGACUGUACAACAUGUGUAAAUGCAAGUAAAUGGUUUCAAAAAUCAAUCUCCUCCUCAGUAGCAUAAGGUCCACAAGAAAAACAAUAUUUCAAAAACUUUUGGUGUGAAAAUAGUUAAUUUCUGUCAUUUGUUAAUUUAGUUAUGUCUUAUCAUAGUAUUUUUAUUCAAGUUACAGUUAACUGUAGCAAUAGUUUUGGCUGUUACUUUGCACAUUCUAUAUUUUUGUGAGUUCAAAGGGAGAACUUAUUUUUAAAUCUGAUAUUAUUUAGCACACUCAUUUUAGAUAACACUUGAGUAUUAUCUCUGUUUGUUUUGCGGCUUCAGAUCAUUUUCCACCUCGAGGCCUUGAUGAGAAGGCAGCGAUGUGAAGACCGCAGAAUACGAACGCUAAACAUCAGCAAGAAAUAUUACUGACCAACACAUCAAGUCAUAUUUAUUAUUCUAGAGCAGCAGAACCUCUGUGAGAAUAAGUAGGCUACUUAAUAAUUUUUUACCUGACCCUCAGCGUCUGGUCUCCGUCCAUGUGUUUGGCGGGUCCUCCGCGCGGCGCGCACGCGGUGUGUAAAUGGUGUCACUAGAUGGCACUAGAGGGCCAAACCCAAUGGAACCUCGCCUGAUUUCUUCAGGUAAUAUAUUGUAUUGUUAUAUGCAAUUGUAUUAUAAAGUUUCUGUUGGCCUAUAGCUUUUCAGGUUAUUAUAACUAAUCUCAAACAAUCUAGUAGGCUAUAUAAUUAGCAUAUAAUAAAAACUUCAUUUUAUAGUACUGUCAGAUGAUUAAUCGCGAUAACAUCGCAACAUAACAUAAUAUGUG
Molecule: long non-coding RNA, 4104 nt
Organism: Carassius auratus (goldfish)
Lineage: Eukaryota; Metazoa; Chordata; Actinopteri; Cypriniformes; Cyprinidae
Source: Ensembl